This 200-nucleotide long non-coding RNA is filed under the name Brassica napus (rape). RNAcentral describes it as "long non-coding RNA (BNAP_LNC021863)". Lineage: Eukaryota; Viridiplantae; Streptophyta; Magnoliopsida; Brassicales; Brassicaceae. The record is from RNAcentral.
UCUGAAUCCGUUUAAGCUCCUUGGCGCCAUCGAUCAUCUUUGGUCUCUUGUCCACUCCUCUCGCAGCAUCUGAAGGUUAUCUCAACAAACUUGUUCACCUUAAAUCUUUCAGCCUCCACAAUACUCGGUAUAUGGUCUCAAUAAACUUUCCUUUCUCUUGCAACCCUCUUACAUAGUUACGUAUAUCGACUCUGACUCUC